Molecule: unclassified non-coding RNA, 333 nt
Filed under: soil metagenome
Description: partial contains 5.8S ribosomal RNA, internal transcribed spacer 2, and large subunit ribosomal RNA
Rfam family: 5.8S ribosomal RNA (bases 1-120)
Source: RNAcentral
GAUGAAGAACGUAGCGAAAUGCGAUAAGUAAUGUGAAUUGCAGAAUUCAGUGAAUCAUCGAAUCUUUGAACGCACAUUGCGCCCCCCAGUAUUCUGGCGGGCAUGCCUGUUCGAGCGUCAUUUCAACCAUCAAGCCCUGCUUGUGUUGGGGUCCUGCGGCUGCCCGCAGGCCCUGAAAACCAGUGGCGGGCUCGCUAGUCACACCGAGCGCAGUAGCACAUCUCGCUCAGGGCGUGCGGCGGGCUCCAGCCGUUAAGCACCCACCUUUCGCAAGGUUGACCUCGGAUCAGGUAGGAAUACCCGCUGAACUUUAGCAUAUCAAUAAGCGGAGGA